CUACGGGUGGCAGCAGUGAGGAAUUUUGCGCAAUGGGCGAAAGCCUGACGCAGCAACGCCGCGUGAGUGAUGAAGGCCUUCGGGUCGUAAAGCUCUGUCAAGUGGGAAGAACCUAUGUAAUGUUAAUAUCAUUAUAUACUGACGGUACCACUGAAGGAAGCACCGGCUAACUCCGUGCCAGCAGCCGCGGUAAUACGGGGGGUGCAAGCGUUAUUCGGAAUCAUUGGGCGUAAAGGGCACGUAGGCGGCCUGGUAAGUCAGAUGUGAAAGCCCGGGGCUUAACCCCGGAAGUGCAUUUGAUACUGUCAGGCUUGAGUAUGGGAGAGGGAAGUGGAAUUCCUGGUGUAGAGGUGAAAUUCGUAGAUAUCAGGAGGAACACCGGUGGCGAAGGCGACUUCCUGGACCAAUACUGACGCUGAGGCGCGAAGGCGUGGGUAGCAAACAGGAUUAGAUACCCUAGUAGUC
RNAcentral lists this ribosomal RNA (465 nucleotides) under uncultured bacterium. Its description in RNAcentral is "partial 16S ribosomal RNA". It matches the Rfam family "Bacterial small subunit ribosomal RNA", at positions 339 to 795 of the family's 1533-position model. The record is from RNAcentral.